This 1298-nucleotide long non-coding RNA is filed under the name Phasianus colchicus (ring-necked pheasant). RNAcentral describes it as "lncRNA (ENSPCLG00000008739.1)". The record is from RNAcentral. Lineage: Eukaryota; Metazoa; Chordata; Aves; Galliformes; Phasianidae.
GUUUGAUCUGUGCUGCUUGUUUGCUGACCUUAGAUGUGCUAUUUCUCCUAGAGCUUCCUGGGGAUGGGAAGUAGAUGCUUGGUGCUGCUUUGCUGGGGUAGUGGACCACUGCCUGGCUGCACUCUUCAGCAUGUUGGACCAAUUCCAUGUUGGAAACUGUGCUCUGCUAAGUAGGCUGAGUUCUGUCCUCCAUUGCAACAUUAACAAUAGCAUUCGUAUGGCUGUGAACUGUUGCCUCAUUCCCUGGCCUGAGUGGGAAGCUGAAGACAAGGCUGGGAGUUUUAACUGGAUGUGUUAGUGCUGGGAAACAAUGGCCAACAAAGCUAAAACAGUGGAAAUAUGCAUUUUAAAAAAGAACUUUUGCUGCAUGUCCUUCCAGGACUAGAUGGACAAACUUCUGUCAGAAGAAUCCAUGCUUUUGUUUAGCACUGGCAGGGUGGAAAGCCUGAGCCUGUCUUACUGUUCUGCCUUGUUUGGUAUCAUGCGAUUCUGCAAGGAAUAGCAGCUACUGAGGGCACUUGUUGAGGAAGGUGCUGCCUUACCUCACACUUAGGGAUGAAAAGAAUAUCUUGACAUUUCUCACUAUGUGAAAUUCUUUUUCUCACAGCAAGCCCUUUUUAAAGUGAUGAAGGGAAAUGUUCUCAGCAUGACUGUUCCUUGCUUAUGAUCUCUGAUUCUGUAGAUUUGCAUGCCUUACUUCUAAAAAAAAAUCUUGUAGCUACAUACUUGUGCACUAUUAUGAUAAUUAAACUAAGGGCAAAAGAUUAAAAACCCUAUAAUUCUGCAGUCCCCCAUAAUACAUGAAGCUCCUCCUACUAGGUAAUGAAACCAUUAUUCACUAACAAGUUAAACAUGCAAGAAUGUGAAGGUCUUUAUAAACAGAGUGCUAUCUGCUAGGGAGGAGAGCCUCCAGGCUAUUGCAGAAGACCAUAAUUUGCAUGAAGUGAAGGAUUAUCCUGGGAAGGCACAGUAAUAGAGAUAUUGCAAUCUUUCAUUACAGUGAUGGGAAGAGUGGUUUCUCAGACCUAUCUUCUUGGAGGGGUUCCAUAGACUAGUUCUGGAAUAGGUCAGAGGGGUAUCUGUCACCAGUAAUGUAGCUGAAUUGCAUGGGCUUCCUAAGGGUGAUGUUCUCCUGAGGUCUGCCCCAGACCUUGCUUCUAUAAUUCUUAUGCUCCUGUUCUUCACAUUACCUGUGGCUGUGACGCCUCUACUGCUGUGCAUCUGAAUCUUUUAUCCCUCCUGAAGCCUUGUUGGCAGGGACCCCAAAAGCAAGGUAUCUAGGAGGUGUAGUAGUUGAG